UGGGGAAUGGUCUAACGGUUAGGACAAGGGACUUUGACUCCCUCGGCGAAGGUUCGAUUCCUUCUUCCCCAG
RNAcentral lists this transfer RNA (72 nucleotides) under Caudoviricetes sp. Its description in RNAcentral is "tRNA-Gln". It matches the Rfam family "tRNA". Rfam says of the family: Transfer RNA (tRNA) molecules are approximately 80 nucleotides in length. Their secondary structure includes four short double-helical elements and three loops (D, anti-codon, and T loops). Lineage: Duplodnaviria; Heunggongvirae; Uroviricota; Caudoviricetes. The record is from RNAcentral.